CUUUAUCUCAGGGCGGAGGAACACAGAGGAGUGGUUAUGUGACGUCACUGUGGACCAUCCCUGGGCCGCAGGCCGGGGCGCGGCUGAGUCUGGCCCCACUUCCGGAGGUGUGGCUCCCGGUGGCCUGUCCACGCCGUUCCCGGAACAGCUCAGAAAGACGUGAAACGGAGUGUUUGGUUGACUCCCUGAAACAACAUGUCAGAAUUCUUCAUUGCAAAGACAAGCCAAUCUGGUUUUCUGACUACCAAUCGAGAGCUCUUCUCACCAGAACAUGCAGUGUGUAGUUACGGCCUCAGCUUUGAUGGGACGAUUUCUAGAAGCAGUGAUGGGGCUCUGGGUCAGGACAUUCAAGUAGACCAUUGAGAAAAACGCUGAGGAGAGGAGCCAAGAGGAAAAGAAGAGGGAAAGCACUCUCCUUGUGCAUCUGACUCAAGCCAGGCAAUGCGUGUGUGCUUUGCUGCAUCACAGUACCUUAAAGAAGCUGGGGUUGUUCUAGUCUUCCAUGGUAGAGAGGAAGCUGAAGCUCAGAGAGGGAAAGUGACUUGUCCAAGGUCAUACAGCCUAGAG
This is a long non-coding RNA of Bubalus bubalis (water buffalo), 567 nucleotides long. RefSeq lists it as uncharacterized. NCBI's taxonomy places the organism in Eukaryota, Metazoa, Chordata, Mammalia, Artiodactyla, Bovidae. The transcript has 2 exons. The record is from RefSeq and is a predicted model, not a curated record.